UACGAAGGGGGCUAGCGUUGCUCGGAAUCACUGGGCGUAAAGCGCACGUAGGCGGAUUGCUACGUCAGGGGUGAAAUCCUGGAGCUCAACUCCAGAACUGCCUUUGAUACUGGCGAUCUUGAGUCCGGGAGAGGUGAGUGGAACUGCGAGUGUAGAGGUGAAAUUCGUAGAUAUUCGCAAGAACACCAGUGGCGAAGGCGGCUCACUGGCCCGGUACUGACGCUGAGGCGCGAAAGCGUGGGGAGCAAACAGG
RNAcentral lists this ribosomal RNA (253 nucleotides) under uncultured bacterium. RNAcentral's name for it is "partial 16S ribosomal RNA". It matches the Rfam family "Bacterial small subunit ribosomal RNA", at positions 524 to 776 of the family's 1533-position model. The record is from RNAcentral.